GGAUGGAAAUGAAGAGAAGAAGAGGAUUUUGGGGUGAUUGUCUCAGAUUUUGAAAAUUAGGACUUGAGAUUUUGAUGGAGAUCAAAAGUGAGACGAUUUUGAUCAAGGAUAUGCCGAGAGAAUAUGUUUACCCUAGAAUUUGAGGUAGAAAAUCAAGGUUUUUGAGCGGUUAAGGGAAUGGAUUUGUGGGAUUGUGGCCGGUGGAGAGCUUGGAGAAGGGUUUCGGUAUGGGACA
This 235-nucleotide long non-coding RNA is filed under the name Elaeis guineensis (African oil palm). RNAcentral describes it as "long non-coding RNA (EGUI_LNC065849)". Lineage: Eukaryota; Viridiplantae; Streptophyta; Magnoliopsida; Arecales; Arecaceae. The record is from RNAcentral.